GACGAACGCUGGCGGCGUGCUUAACACAUGCCAGUCGAACGGAAAGGCCUGCUUUCCCUUGUGGAUUGCGGGUACUCGAGUGGCGAACGGGUGAGUAACACGUGAGUGAUCUGCCCCCAACUUGGGUAUAAGCCUGGGAAACUGGGUCUAAUUCCCGAUAGGACUGCAGGGUGGUGCCUGUGGUGGAAAACGAUUUUCUAGUGGUUGGGGAUGAGCUCGCGGCCUAUCAGCUUGUUGGUGGGGUAAUGGCCUACCAAGGCGGCGACGGGUAGCCGGCCUGAGAGGGUGGACGGCCACAUUGGGACUGAGAUACGGCCCAGACUCCGACGGGAGGCAGCAGUGGGGAAUAUUGCACAAUGGGCGGAAGCCUGAUGCAGCGACGCCGCGUGGGGGAUGACGGCCUUCGGGUUGUAAACUCCUUUCGACCGCGAGGAAGCCACCUGGUUGGAAGGGUGGUGACGGUAGUGGUAGAAGAAGCACCGGCUAACUACGUG
This 494-nucleotide ribosomal RNA is filed under the name uncultured bacterium. RNAcentral describes it as "partial 16S ribosomal RNA". It matches the Rfam family "Bacterial small subunit ribosomal RNA", at positions 28 to 507 of the family's 1533-position model. The record is from RNAcentral.